Long non-coding RNA from Helianthus annuus (common sunflower), 922 nucleotides. RefSeq lists it as uncharacterized. The transcript has 10 exons. NCBI's taxonomy places the organism in Eukaryota, Viridiplantae, Streptophyta, Magnoliopsida, Asterales, Asteraceae. The record is from RefSeq and is a predicted model, not a curated record.
UGUUUUACUCGGUUGUUUAUGUAGUAUACAUCUUUAAUCUAAGAGAUUGAACAUGUUUAUUUUUUUCUUAAACCAAAAUCUACAUCAGAUGUUUUUUGUUGAUUUUUGUUAUGUAUAAAAUCAAGUUUCCGGGUUUUUCUUAAUCAUCUAUUCCACAUUUAUCGCAGUUAAUGAUUUUGGUUGUUGUAUUUUUUUCAUGUGAUCCUUACAUCCGUUAUAACAAUCUGAAUACCACCAUUCGUCAAGCAACAGAGUUUUCUAUUUGCAAUUGAGGUUUUGUUUUGAUCAAAGUUGGGUUAUGCAAGGUAAAUGGGGGAUAUCUACAAAUUUUGAUGGCACACGGCUUUUCAUUUAACGACAAUUUUGAUCAGAUACUGACAUUUAAGGAAAAAAUCUUAAUACAAUGUUGGGUAGAAGAUGCUGGAGAAUGAACUUAAGCGUAAUUUGGAUGCCGUUUAUGAUGUGGAUUUAUGUUCUUCUCAGUCUUCCACUAAACCGCGUAUGGGUGAUUGUGAGAACAAUGAAGAUCCGCCUAUAUAUCUUGAAGAUCAGACCAUAAAUCUUGAAGUUAAUGAUUUUGGUUGUUGUAUUUUUUCAUGUGAUUCCUUACAUCCGUUAUAACAAUCUGAAUCCCACCAUUCGUCAAGCAACAGAGUUAUAGAUAUUUAUUUCUGAACCGAGUCUGUCCUCCAUAGUUUUUUCUGAUGUGAAGAGCUUCUUUCAGACUCCUUCCCCUACAAGGAACUAUUGAAUGGGUUCCUAUGAGAAGUUGAAGGAAAAGUAUAUCUUGCACUGUUUUUUAUGGAUAAUGAAAACAAUGCUCCGUAUAGGCUGUAUCAUCGAAGACGGGUUCGACUGGAGGAUCUUGAAUAUGAACCGGUGCUAUCGCCCUUCCGUCGUCUUUUAUAAUCAUGUUGUGUAA